AUCAUACCAAGCCGUGAAUUUGGCGUAACGGUGGCUUCCCCGAACAGCGCAUUGUUUGCUUGCUGUAAAAAACAAGUGAAAUAGAGUGCGGAAUUGCAGCGUCGUGCCUGGACUGUAAAGCAAAGUGUUGAUUUGGUCGGUGUACUGUGCAAUGCAAUGGAGUGGCAAUUUAUAAUACCUCAAGCAAGAGCGGAGCUUUUGCGGUCGGAUAAAAACCAUUACUGCGUCGGUCGAGUACUUGACGCCGCCGAAGUCCCGGAUGCGCUGAAGGCUUCGCGAGUGAUUUCGAGCGACCCGUUCGCUAUAUUCGACCAUUUCGAUACGUUCUAUUCGGUAAUCGACAAUGAGAAGGCUUUGGCAGGGACGCAUCUGCUGCGUGCCUACGAUCAGCUCUACGGUGCUAUCGACAAGCUCGGCAGUACGAUGGCGGACCUGCUGUCCCGGAAGGAGAUAGACACCACCGAUCGGCAGUCCGCACUGAAUGCGGUCAAAAUGUUAGCCUUCCUCGUGAACGGCCUGGUGAAGGCAAUCGAUGCGCAUGUAAAUGCCGCCAGCGAGAAGCUGACAACAAAGAAGAGCAAAAAGCAGACGGCCAACGAGCAGCUGGAGGCGUUGGAUUGGGACAACAAACGGUACCAAUGCGUCGUCCAGCUGUACAAUUUGUUGCAGCUUCCGCUGGAGAAGCUGUGGGAUCCGCCGGUGUGUGAGGAAUCAUUUGUAGAUGUUAUUUGUGAUAUCUGCUAUCGGACGCUGGAGCAAUCGUACGUGCGGAAUCGCAGCACCGCGGACAGUGUGUUUCAAAUUCUGGGAACCGCGAUCAAGCGCUACAAUCAUUCGCUUGCCUUUCCCGUGCGCAUUCUGCAGAUUCUCGAACACAUCGAAGCGGCAAUCCCUUCCGUAGCGGCUGGAGUAUUGCUGCUCUACGAGGAGUUCGGUAUACAGACAAUCUAUCCCGUCAUUAUCAAGGAAAUCAUCGAACGGCUAAGCGUCGACUCGGCCGAUCAGCAGACGGCACGCUUUUUCAGCCUUUUUCUGGUCGAGCUUGGUACGCUUGCGCCGAAGCUGAUGAUACCGCAUCUCUCGACGCUGAGCGAGGAGCUGCUGAAUCUGGAAUCGUACACACUGCGCAACUGCGUGCUCCAGAUAAUGGGCGAAGCGAUCGUCAGUGAGCUCACGUCUGAAGAGCUGUCGGAUGAGCUGAAGGAGACGCGAGAUGAGUUUUUGGAGGAUCUGCUCAACCACAUGAUGGAUAUAUCGGCCCAUGUGCGGUCGAAGGUACUGCAGAUAUGGUUGAAUCUCAAGGAGCACAAUUCUGUCCCGUUGGCAUGGAUACACAAGGUGCUGCACGUGGCCGUCGAGCGGCUGGAGGAUAAAGCGCUUCUUGUACGCAAGCAAGCCAUUGCGCUGAUCAAAGCUUUCCUAGAACACAAUCCUUUUUCGGCAAAGCUGUCUCUGGCUGAGCUAAGGGCCCAAUACGAGGAGGAAGAUAAAAAGCUACAGGAUCUUCGCACUCAGCUGGUGGAGCAAGAUACUAAAAUGAAAGCGGUUGAAGAGGAAUGGGAAGAAAUCGUGGUGCAGAUGUACCCAACACUAACGGAGUUGUUUGGCAAGGAGCCAGAAGAUCUGGAAACAGCAACCGAAGCCGAUGUAAAAUUGCUUUCCGAGAGCAUCAUCUCGUUGCUAAAGGAGGAAAAAUAUCAGGAACUGGUACGGUUGGUGCAGCGGGCCGAUUAUGCGCUUGGUAACAGUGAACAGCGAAAAGAGAUGACGUUCGAGCAUCAGUGCAUGUACUACAUCACAUUGCUAAAAAGCUACUUCAUUCAUGGUCAUACGAAUGUGACACUGAAUGCCGAGUUCCAGAAGGUGGAAAAUUCGGUCAACUUCCUGCACGAUUCUAUCCGCUUCUCAGAGCUAAUAUCGAAUGCCGUGCCGAAGUUGCUGGAGAUGCUAAUGUCAAAGUCUCAAUCGGACGUUCAUGGCGCAAUCGACUUUUUUACCUCGGCGUAUCUCUUCGGCAUCAAAGGCACAGAACAGGGCAUGCAGCAGAUGCUUUAUCUCGUGUGGUCAACCGACAAGGAGAAGCGCGAGAAUGUAACUGCCGCCUACAAACGGGUGCUGUUUGAGACGAAUCUGCAGGGCCGGGCACACACGGUCAAAGUGGUACGCAAUUUGAGCCAAUUCCUUACGAAUCUGACCCGUGGCCAGUACACGGCAAUGGAGGUGCUCGUACAGGAGUGGGUCGAAAACGGUGACAUCGAUGCACAGAUGGUGCAGGUUCUGUUCGAAAUUUUUACCCUCAAGCUGGAGAAUGUGUCGCCGGAGGAAUCGCGUCAAGCGCUUCAGCUACUGGUGAUGGUAUCGGCGGCGAAACCGUCGGUUGUAACGGCUAACCAGCGCCUGUUGGAAACGAUCGGAUUCGAGGAGCGGGGACGCAAAGAUCCUCGAAUUUUUGUCGCCACGUUAGACUUGCUUAUCAACUCCAUUCCGCCGGCAACAAACAGCUCGAAAUAUUACAAGCGCUUCGAUCACACGUCCUCUACCGUGCAGCACGUAAUCGAUCUGUACACAAAGCUGUUUUUCUGCUCGCGUGUUGAUAAUUUUGACGAUAUCGGUACCAAGGUAUUUGAUUUUAUCUACAAAAUGGUCAAAACACCAGACCUGCUCUCGCAAUCGAUCGUGGUAGCAUUGUACGAGCGGCUGCAGAAGCUCGCGGAAUCGAGCACAGCAGACGCCAGCUCCGAAGAGAUACGCAUGUCGCAGAUGAGUCAAAUAUCGGGAUCCACGCAAGAACAGAACAGCCGUGGAUCGCAGAACAUGACACAGCCAGAGCAGCUGAUUUUAGACAUUCCUCACUUUUUGGCAGCCCGAUUUGUCUUUACCAUCGGGUACGUUGCAAUGCGCGAGAUGAUCUAUUUAGAUAUUGACGUGUACAGCAACAUGAAAUAUCGGCAGGAACUGAAGGAAGAGUUGAAAAAUCAGAAGAAGAAAAAUGCCGCCCUGGCGGGCAACAAGAGUGUGAUGGCGACGCCGGUCCGUGCCGGAACGGCAGCACAGAUGAGAAAAACGCUCUCUACCUCCAUGAACGUAUCGGCCAGCAAUGCGCUGAAGCGUCUGUCCGGUUCAACCGGAGCAGCAGGAAGCAAUGGUCCGGAGCAGGCCGAGCCGGAAGAGGAACUGUUGAGCGGUGCCACGGCAGAGGAUGCGGUCGCGGAAGAGAUUAACUACAUUUGCGAGCAGGAACUGCUCUAUGGUAGGGACAAUUUGCUGAACCGUUUAAUUCCUACCGUGCUGGAGGUGUGCAAAUUUCCGAACCGCUAUCGGGACGAAAUGCUACAAAAGGCGGCCGUUCUGACGCUGAUCCGUCUGAUGGCCGUAUCGUCCAAAUUCUGUGAAGAUAACAUGCCAUUUCUGAUGAACAUUUUCAAGCACACGAAAAAUACCAACAUUAAAUGCAACAUCAUGAUCGGUCUGUCGGACUUUACCUUCCGCUUUCCAAACGUGAUUGAACCGUGGACAAAGCACAUGUACUCGACGCUGUAUGAGCAGGACGUGGAGCUGCGUAUGACGGCGGUGAAGAUGUUGUCUCAUCUGAUCCUGCACGAGAUGAUACGCGUCAAGGGGCAGAUUUCGGACCUGGCGCUCUGCAUCGUCGAUCCGGUAAAGGACAUUCGCACCAUCACGGAACAGUUCUUCAAGGAAAUUGCGAACAAAUCGAACAUUUUGUACAACGUGCUGCCGGACAUAAUUUCACGCCUGAGUGACCCGAAUCUGGACCUUGAGGAGGAAAAGUACCACAUUAUCAUGCGAUACAUCAUCGGACUGAUCAAUAAGGACAAACAGAUCGAGAGUUUGGUGGAGAAGCUGUGUCUCCGGUUCCGGGUAACGAAGGAGGUGCGGCAGUGGCGAGACAUUGCCUUUUGCCUAUCGUUGCUUUCGUACAACGAGAAGACGAUCAAGAAGCUGAGCGAAAACAUUGGUUGCUUUAAGGAUAAGGUGCAGCACGAGGAGAUUUACCAGUCAUUCCGAACGAUUAUCAGCAACACGAACAAGCUGGCGAAGGUGGAACUAAAGAACGCAGUUGGCGAAUUUGAAACGCGACUAAAGGAAUGUCUGGAGGUACGCGAUGAAACUAGAGAUGCUGCAGGCAGUAACAACGCUGCGGGAGGUUCCUCAGAUGAAGCGAACAGUGAAAUUGCUUCCACCUCGGAUAAAACAUCCAACGCAGCAGCAAGAAGAGGGCGAGCAAAGACUGUCGAGCGAGGAACUAAACCAUCAGUGGCCGGCCGAGCAAAUAAAACUUCCAAGAAACCCGGCAACAGUAAACCAGCGGGACGCCGCGGCAAAGCGGCAGCGGUACAAGACUCGUCCGACGAGGAAGACAGCGACAGCGAGGAAGAAAAUCUGCCCCCCGCAUCGAGUUCGCGAUCUAUGGCCAGGGCACGCCAGAAUAUGAAGAUUACCAAAGUCAUCGAAAGUGACAAUUCAGACAUUGAGCCCGACACUAGACGCAAAAAGAAAAGAACAUUCGCCGCCAAACAUAGGGGGGAAGAAUGAGCAAAUUGUAGAGGGUGCGAGAAAAAGUGUAUGAGACAGAGAGAGGUGGAGAGAGAGAGAGAGAGAGUGCGUGUGUGUGUGAAAACACAUCCUCUAAAAUCAAUCUACUUUUCUGCCACUACUCAUCCACAUCCCAAAGCCAAAUUCCUAGCCGAGCCACAUGUUUUCAGCGAUUAUAAACGGCGCGGUAGAAGCAGCUUUCUCGACCAGCAUUGCCUUCCCGGCCCCGCGUGUGGCACGUGUUUCUUCUAUAUAAAGGGGUUAAACAUUUUAAGCCCUUCACUGUCACGGACAGUCCUGCGUUCGCUACUAUUGAUUGCGUACAGAGUAUAUCAAAAGAUGUAGAAUAUGUUCGUUUUUAAAAAUUAUACAAAAUUUGGGCAGCCAUAGUAAAACAUAUAUUGCAGCAGUAUGAAUUACUUCGCAACAAACCAGAAGUCGUUUCCGGUAUGCUUAGUACGCAUAGCACGUAUAGCGUGUAACAGAUAGUCCAGUCCCCUUUAGCAAAAGUAGUUUGCCAUUGAUUGCAGGAAUAAAGGUAGUAGAUUCGUAAGGAUACCAAUUCCUCCCAGGGCGGUUUGGUGUGUGUGUGUAUGACGAAGAGGAGGAGAAGGAAGAGCUGCCCCCGAAACGUGGGAAAACGAAACGGUAGCAUCGCCCCCAAUGAUCCUGUGUCGCGUCAGGCACAUAUCCUCCUAAUCAACAUGUCACACAAGCGGCAAUGUCCCUUUCUACAUAUAACCCCAACCUUUUCUCGGUCCAAGUAGUCCUGCCUCUUCGAGCAUCGCCGUGGCGGGGACCUUGCAUAUUAGUGUGUAUGUGUGUGCCCUCCUCUUCCACCAGUACAACCGCGGCCGUUUGGUGGGUGGGUGUGUAUGUUUUGUUCAAUGUUGAUAGUAACUUAUUACCCUAAAAUAUAGUUUUAAUGUGAAUUUAAAGAAUAGCUGUUAAAUUGAAUGUAUUUAACAAAAAUAAAAAAACACACUUACCUGACUCAUGCUGACAUAGAAAGCCCUAGAGAUGAUAGGGCGAUGAUUUCAGUAGCAUUCGAUCUUCUCGGCGGUUUUUGAAAGCUGCUGCUGGCUGGCGCUUACAGUUCAGGAUCAGCUUUUAUCAC
This is an RNA transcript of Anopheles merus, 5671 nucleotides long. It is a transcript of the gene named condensin complex subunit 1, with no coding region annotated. The transcript is spliced from 8 exons. Lineage: Eukaryota; Metazoa; Arthropoda; Insecta; Diptera; Culicidae. The record is from RefSeq and is a predicted model, not a curated record.